AAUGGCUAAGUCAUGUGCAGGACUUUAUAUCUAGCUCUCUAAUCUCCGACUAUUCCCUGACAGUGUGUCAGCUGGAUUCUUUCUGCUGCAACCAGCACACUCCAUGCCCUGAAAGGACAGCUAUAUAGAAAUGGACUUCUAAAUCCUGGAGGUGACAUUAUCGACACUUCAUUUGGGCCUUGUUGGUAAAUGUCUCCAGAGCGUGAUGGAUGAAUAGAAGCUGCUGAAUCAAGAGGCUGCUCAAGGCCAAGCUGCCAGAGGUGUCGGAUCUUUUUGGCCGUUGGCACUAAAUCAUUUAGAUGUCCAUCCAGGAUAUAUGGCAGACUUCAUCAUUUCCGGGGAAUUUGGAGAGGCAGAGGAAAGGUGGGGAACUUCGCUGGUUUCAGUUUGCGGCAUGUGCAGAGCCAAACUUAGCCUGGAAGACCACCCCGUCUCGCGCUGACAUGCCUUGACUCUAUGACUCUGUGUCCUGGGCGAAAACUGCCUCCACUGGUCGCGGGAGCUGUUCCUGGGUGACGUGCACAGGUUUGAGUCCUCACUUGCCCCCGUGUCUCACUCCAUUUUUGCUGCAACGCAGCAAGAGCUUCAAAAGAUGGGCCUGAAAGUGGAUAUUCCUGAGAAUUAGAAACAAAUCACAGCAGGGAACUAACAACAUAAAAAUACUUCACACUGUGAGGAAUUGAAGCAAGAGUUCCUGUUGUGAUGUACGCAAUGGACACAGCAUGUGAGCGGCCAUUAAAAAAAAAAAAACUGGAAGAAAAAGUAUGUCUUUGAGAAACAACUUCUAAAAACCACAGAGAACUGAAAUGUCUCAUGAGCAGAGAGUGUAACUGCCACACGAAAACCUCUGGGGUUGAAAUAGUGAAUCCGUGGAAUAAGUUGAAAGUUUGAAUCCCGAAGUUAAGUUUUGCUGCGACUUGCCCCAUCUCCUGGUGCUCAUAAAUCCCUCUUGGUGCAACCAAAAGUCCUCCUGCUUCCAUCAAUUCCCAAGAACUGCUUGGCCAAGGUUACCAAGUCCAUUCCAAGAUCACUUAAGUACAUAAAACUGGAUGAGGAAGGUGAGUAAUCCUGAUUCAGUUCUCAAUCUAAAAUAAGACAUUUAUUUCUAGACUCGUGUUUUAAGCUCAGAGUAAUUUAUGACUUGUUAUGUCUAUGGGUGAUUAAUAAAUCAUAUUAUAUCAUCACUAUAUUACUUUUCAAAUGUAGACCUACUGUAGCCUCUCAAGGCAAGAUUACUCUGAACUGAACAAAGAAUGAAAAUAAAAGUGUAAGCCUGUUAUUAGUAUUUAAGAUUGUGUAUGCCUGAAAGGGAUUAUUUUACAUAAGGA
This 1328-nucleotide long non-coding RNA is filed under the name Ursus thibetanus thibetanus. RNAcentral's name for it is "lncRNA (ENSUTTG00000002534.1)". The record is from RNAcentral. Lineage: Eukaryota; Metazoa; Chordata; Mammalia; Carnivora; Ursidae.